CCUACGGGAGGCAGCAGUGGGGAAUAUUGCACAAUGGGCGGAAGCCUGAUGCAGCGACGCCGCGUGAGGGAUGAAGGCCUUCGGGUUGUAAACCUCUUUCGCCAGGGAAGAAGGGUGACUGACGGUACCUGGAAAAGAAGCACCGGCUAACUACGUGCCAGCAGCCGCGGUAAU
RNAcentral lists this ribosomal RNA (174 nucleotides) under uncultured bacterium. RNAcentral describes it as "partial 16S ribosomal RNA". It matches the Rfam family "Bacterial small subunit ribosomal RNA", at positions 338 to 524 of the family's 1533-position model. The record is from RNAcentral.